AUAGAGACUCAGAGCUGCAUAUCAAUAAGCGGAGGAAAAGAAACUAACAAGGAUUCCCUUAGUAACGGCGAGUGAAGCGGGAAGAGCUCAAAUCUGAAAUCUUCAAGGUUCUACCUUGACGAAUUGUAGUUUAAAGAAGUGUUUUCUGUUAGUGGAGUGGCGAAAGUUCUCUGGAAUAGGACAUCAUAGAGGGUGAGAAUCCCGUAUUUGGUCAUUCCUCCUAGCUUUGUGAUACACUUUCAACGAGUCGGAUUGUUUGGGAAUGCAGUCCAAAAUGGGUGGUAAAUUUCAUCUAAAGCUAAAUAUUGGCGAGAGACCGAUAGCGAACAAGUACCGUGAGGGAAAGAUGAAAAGAACUUUGAAAAGAGAGUUAAACAGUACGUGGAAUUGUCAAAAGGGAAGCGUUUGACACCAGUGUUGUUUUUCCGAAAAUCAAUUACGAAUGUUUUGUUUUUAAGAAGUUAUGACUUCAUCGGCUUGCUUCUUUCUUUAUGGAACUUUCUUAAUGCACUUUUCGGUUAACAAGUCAACAUCAAUUUCUUUUGUUGUAAAAGAGGUAUGCGGAAGGUGGCUUUCUUUUCGGAGAAAGUGUUUAUAGCCCUAGUACUUCUAGCAAUCGGAGAGAUUGAGAGUCUGCAGCGUAGAUCCUUCGGGGUUAGAUACAUUUGUGCUAAGUUAUAGCUUUUCAUAGACAACUUGUUGACUAUGUUUAGUCUUGUAGCUUACUCGCUUAUGCUAUUUUACCUACGCUUAGGAUGUUGACGAGACUGUCGAUCUC
This 778-nucleotide ribosomal RNA is filed under the name uncultured Neocallimastigales. RNAcentral's name for it is "partial large subunit ribosomal RNA". It matches the Rfam family "Eukaryotic large subunit ribosomal RNA", at positions 23 to 646 of the family's 3401-position model. Lineage: Eukaryota; Fungi; Neocallimastigomycota; Neocallimastigomycetes; Neocallimastigales. The record is from RNAcentral.